CUCCCCGUAGUGCAACGGAAGAACGUCGGUCUACGAAGCCGAAGACGGUGGUUCGAAUCCACCCGGGGAGG
RNAcentral lists this transfer RNA (71 nucleotides) under Myxococcales bacterium. Its description in RNAcentral is "tRNA-Arg". It matches the Rfam family "tRNA". Rfam says of the family: Transfer RNA (tRNA) molecules are approximately 80 nucleotides in length. Their secondary structure includes four short double-helical elements and three loops (D, anti-codon, and T loops). The record is from RNAcentral. RNAcentral also lists the same sequence under 1 other name. Lineage: Bacteria; Pseudomonadati; Myxococcota; Myxococcia; Myxococcales.